Molecule: long non-coding RNA, 21329 nt
Filed under: Xyrichtys novacula (pearly razorfish)
Lineage: Eukaryota; Metazoa; Chordata; Actinopteri; Labriformes; Labridae
Source: RNAcentral
GCUCCGAGGAGGGCCGGGAGAGUGGGAGGGGACGAGUCAGAACUACGGAAGAGGGGUGUGUCGAAUACAGCGAGGUGAUUAGAUGGAGAGGCAGAGCAGAAGAUUGACCAAUAGAAGCUGUCCGGGAUGGCUCCCAUUGGUCAAUGUUUUUGCAGCUCUGCACCUGCUAGGGUGAACGGAUUUUUUUCCAUUGUUUUUUCUCUUCACUUUGUGGAGACCGCACUAAAGGACCAUGAUCGCCAUAGAAACGAGGUUCAUAAUAAUUACCAAUCCCUCCAAUCGUCAACCAUGCCUUUAGGUAAUGGUUCACACUCAUGUUCAGCAGCACAUUCGAUAUCAAACAAAACUGCUGUGUCAGUUAAAUCAAGUGGUUCCCAACUAAGACUUACCCAGAUUACUGCAAAGCAUCAGCAGAAUAUGAAAAUUAAAAAUCCAAAAAGGGAAGAAAAACAAACUAGUAAAACAUUAACUCAAGAAAAACAAAAAUUUCCAUCUCAGAAAUAUUUUCGACAGCCUGAGUUCAACUUUGCUUUUCUUCAGUUAGUGACAGUAAUAAAUCUGAGCAGCUAUAAAACUCUUGGAGAGGUUCAUGGUUAUCUGGGUGUAGUAAGAGAACAUCAGCAGAUGUUUGCCGGACCUCCAAAACGGGAACACUUGAUUCCAGGCAUCAUUAUUUUUAAUCGAGGAUAUUAUUGUUGUUCACUGAUGUCACUGAAGCCAAAAGUUGGAAAUUCCCAGCACAACCUCUGAGGGAUUUAGAGGUCAGCUUAUAUAAUACAAGGAAAAACACAGCAGCUGCCAGCAUGUUUGUUUACAUGCUGUCUUUCUGGAUACAACAGUUCAAAAUUCCAUGUAAAGUGUCUAUUUCAGGGACGGCGCGGCUCUAAAUAUACAACGAACCUGCUUCAAGAAUCACACGCCACAGCGCCGACGUGUUAUUAAGGCUGUUUCAUCCUCUCAUCGGAUGAUUCUGAAACUCUGCAGCCGCGGUGUAAUGAGACGGCCUGACAGCCAUGUCCUGGUGAUGUCAUUGAGGGUUUAGAGAAGAUGAUUGGUCAGCUGUCAGCGGCAGUCUGUCCACGUCCUUUAUCUGCGCUGCAGUUCCCAUGACCACCUUCUGCUGUUGCCAGAGAUGUAAACUGACACCUGUGGCCUCCUGAUGAUUUAGACAUCAGGAGUAUCACACACACAUGCACACACAUGAACACACUUCCACCCCAAAACAGAAAUAAAAGUGAAAACUGUUUCCAAACUAUUAACAGAUGAUAAAAACAUGCACGACGUUCAGGUGCAGACACAAACACACAUUGGGUCUCUGUGCAGACAGUAAUGUAAUAAAACUACCAGCUAGGUCUUACACAGUCCUCCCUGUGCAGCAAAGGACUGUGGGUACAGUCAACAUACUGUCCCCUGAGAUGCAAUGUGAAACCACUUCGCUGCCUUGGUGCUCACAAACACACAGCCGAUCAAAAAGAGAGGAAACCUUUAUAAACGAACAGAUGAGAGAGCAGAAACGACAACGGUAUUAUCUUGCUGUUUGAACGAUGGACUCACUGAAGGUGUUUUAAUGUGAGGAAAACAAACACAGACGAUGAUAGUCUAGAAGUCUGUCAUUGUAGCCAAAAAUAUUAUAAAGAUGACUCGUUAAAGUGUGAAAGUCCAUGCACUAUGCACUGUUGACCUGAGAUUUUCCCAUGGGUCACUAUAACACAACUUGGCCACUUAAGUAGCAUCUUGAACAUCACCUCUACUACUUGUCCACUGUGAAGCCAUGUUUUUUUUUUUUUUAUAUACGAGUAGAAGAACCAAAAUAUUAACGUAAAAUGACGCCAUGGUAACCUCUUCUUCUCAUGCGCUUGCUAUCCCACAGAGGGACUCUCAUUAACCUUCAAAUGUAACCACGUCUCUUUGAAAUGGCGAGCAUUAAGUAAUCAUUUACAGAAACUUAUCAGUCAAAUCGACUCCUGCAGCUUCUUUAUUUACAGGUAUCUGAUGUUAACACGCUGCAUGGGAACCUCCAACAUCCUUCUUCUCAGCUUGCUCCCAUGAGUGAAAAAGCGGGUGUGUGUUGAUGCUGAUGAUAAUUAAGUCGAUGAACAUGAAAAUGAAGAUCCUCUGCACUAGCGUGUGUGUGUGUGUGUGUUACAGUGUGAGAAAGUCACAGAAAGAGAAAGUGUGUGUGUGUGUGUCGAUGAAGUGAAGAGAAGAGAACUAAAGGGCCAUUUAUAGCUGUCACGCACUGACAACCAUUACCCAUGCAUUUACAGUACUCUCAGCACAUACUGUCAGGAGGACUCUGCAUGCACACGCACAUACACACAUACACGCAUGAACACACAAACACACUCUACCUGACAGAGCCUAAUUAUCGACACCUCUCCCUGUCGGAUGAAACAAAAAACUGCUCUAUUUUCAGACUGAUGGAGUCUGAUGUCUCUCUGUCGUCUUUUUCUUCUUCUUCUCCCCCUCCCAGCGUCUUUUGUCGUCUCUGCGCGAUGCCUCGCCCGCCGCCCACCCUCUUAUCCGACGUUUGAUUCUCGACUCGUUAAAUAAGACUCAAAUUAAAACAGACAAUGAGGAAAGUUUCCCCCUCAAAGCCACUUUCAUUUGUUGUGAUUGUUAUUCAGAGUCACGGAUGGCAGUGUGCGUCUUUGUGUGUGCGUGCGCGUGUGUGUAUGUGUGUGUUCUGAGUAAAAAUGGUAGCAUGUGGCAUCUUGUCUUUGAGGCCCGCUUCAUUAGUUGUCAAACAGAACAGCCACAGUCACCUCUGGCCAACUACUGAGUGUGUGCAUGUGUGUGUGUGUGUAGGGGGGUUUGAGAUCAAGUGCUGCUUCUGUACUCUGCAGAAUCUGUUUCAGGGGGGUCAAUUCAACUUAUCACAGCUCUGAUUCAUUAUUUGUCCCUCCGCCCUGAUGCAACCAACAACACAAUAAUGACAUACUGUGUGUAUACCUGUGUGUGUGUAUAUGUGUGUAUUUUGUGUAGUGUGACAAUACGCUUCUCUAGGAUAUAUCUCGAGUAAUCCUUUAACAUAAACUGUUUAACCCACGAUAAAUCCAGCAAACUUAACCAGUAACCUUGACCAAAGCUUAGGGCUGGGCGAUAUGGCCUCAAAUCAAUAUCACGAUUUAUUGAUCAGUUCACCUCAGUAACGAUAAAUCGACGAUAACUACUUGACAAGCUGCUCACCCCCUCCCACAUUAACUUCAUCUACUUCAGCCGCUACAACUUUUGAACCGUCCUCCAUCUCCUCACCUGUCUUUCCCUCUUUGUUACGGACUGGAUGGGGUGGAGUCACGUCUCUGACGUAGGACAGCCUCUUAAAGGGACAUGAGACCACAGCCUACCUACACACAUCCAAAACCAACUUUUAUUUAUUUUUUUGACACCAAAUAUAUUGACACGGGCAAAAUGACGUCAGUUAUUGUUGUAAAUUUCGGUAUUGGUAAAUUUUCAGUUAAUCGCCCAGCCCUACCAAAGCUCAUGUAAACAUUUAGCACAGGCACAAAGACACACAGAGUGGUGUAGUGGUUAGCACUGUCGCCUCACAUCAAGAAGGUCGUGGGCUCGAAUCCGGGUCAGGGCAUUUCUGUGUGGAGUUUGCAUGUUCUCCCUGUGUCUGAGUGGGUUUACUCGGGAUUCUCCAGUUUCCUCCCACAUCCCAAAAACAUAUAGAAGUGGGGUUAGGUUAAUUGGCCACUUUCAAAUUGCCCGUAGGUGUGAAUGUGAGCGUGGAUGGUUGUUCGUCUCUAUAUCUCAGCCCUGCGAUGAACUGGUGACUUGUCCAGGGUGUCCUCUGCCUUCGCCUGAAGACACUGAGAUAGGCUCCAACCCCCAACGGGAAUAAGUGGUAGAAAAUGGAUAGAUAGACAAAGACAUCACACAUUCAUUUUAACCUUCUUAAUACUCUGUAAACAAAACAGCCAGUUCAGAGCAACAAACUGAGAUUCAACUCUCAGAGCAUCAAAUCUCCAUUUAAGGUGUGAGGAUGAGAGACGGGGGGAUGAAGAGGAGGAAGGAAGGAGGGAUCAGAAAACUUACUGUACUGUUUCAAACAAUGACUGCAUCUGCCCUGAGAACGAGGGGUUGGGUUGGGGUAGAUUCUGGUAUUUUUGUUUCUUUUAUUUCCUUUUCUGUGUAAAGUACUUUGUGCUACAUGGUCGUGUAUGAAAAGUAAAAUAUAAAUAAAGACUGAUUGAUUGAUUGAUUGAUUGAUUGAUGGGCCGGGUACCUGGGAUAGGUCACUUUUACUUUCAGUCUCUUAAAACAUUAUUGGAACCCCUCCUUUACUUCAACUAAGUGGUCCUUUAAAAAUACCAGGUCCUUUUGUGUUUUUGACUAAAUCCUACCUCAUCUUAAUCAUUGUGUUUUUAGACUGACUCUCCAACGGUGAUUUGUAACAACGGUUGGCAGCUUCAAAUGAUUUUGACCUACAGAUCAGCAAACGCCUCGAUGAGCUGCUCUUGAGCGUGAAUCGCACCCACCUCGAAAGAAUCACUGGAAAGACUCCAGUUUUUCCUGUUCCUAGAAGAAUAAGUGAAGAUAUUUAAUGGAAGGUCUGAUUUUCAUUGAGCGAACACUCAAGCCUUCAAGCUAAAACAGCGAGUUGGCAGGUAACCAGUGUGAACAUUAUGUUGCCUUCACUGGACAAUCUCCAGAUCAGUCCAGCCCUGGAGAAGAUCGGACUCUCAGAGGCUUUCAUUGACAUCACCUACACCCUCAGAAAUGUGCAAAUGUGCAGAGCUUAUUCCCACAGGGGCCGACCUCAUGUAACUUCCUGUUCAAGGUGGGAAGCUUAAAUUUUGUUAUCCUGUCUUACUGCUGUGUUUGAGGUUGUAAGUUGUGUAAGCCUUGACUAGCUGUCAAAUUGUAGUCCUGCUCCCUAAUUGAUAACCACCCUCAAAGACUAUGGAUAGGGAGAAGCGGCAGAAACAUCAGGAAGUAUAUUAUAAAGUUAAAGAAGAUAUUUGUGAACGCAAACUUACUUCAGGACACGGUUAACUUAAGUAUUCAGUCACUUCAUGAUACUGAUAUUAUCUUAAUAUUCAUGGAAAACUUGGAAGUAAAACAGAGGAAAGCAUCACAACACUCAAAAAAAUACUUGAAUUAUCUCAUCUUAGGUAUCUAAGUUUUCUCAAAUUAAGAUUCAUCACCAACUAUCUGACCAAAACCUCUUUAGAAAAGACAUAAAUAAUAAGUUGUUAUGCUCUUAUUUCGAUAAUUUUCUGUCUUGCGCUGAAAUUGCUUAAUUCAUGCUUUUAUUUCUAAACGGUUGGACUACUGUAACGCUCUUUACGUUGGUGUUAGUCAGGCUUCUCUCACAUGCUUACAGUUCGUCCAAAAUGCUGCUGCUUGUCUUUUAACAAGUAAACGAAAACGUGAUCACAUGACCUCAAUUCUGGCGCCCCUCCAUUGGUUUCUCAUUCAUUUUAGAAUUAAUUUUAAAAUUUAAUUGUUUGUUUUUAAAUCUUUAAAUGGAUCAGCACCACAGUACAUCUCUGACAUCUUAAAUGUUUAUAUCCCCCCAUGUUCCUUGAGGUCUGCUGAUCAGCUCCAACUCGUCGUCCCUAAAACUUGUUUAAAAACCUGUGGCUCCCAAAUUGUGGAACAAAUUGCAACUCGAUCUACUUUUAGAUCACAUGUUAAAACUCAUUUUUAUUCCUUUGCUUUUAGCUCAGCAUUAGAGUUGUGUGAUCUCUGCCCUUUUAUCACUUUUAUUUCUUUGAUGCUUUUGUGUUUUUAUUUUAUUUCAUUUUAAAUGUUUUUUACCUGCUUUUAUUUAUUUCCUGUUGAUGUUUUCUGCAGCGUUUGUUCUUUUAAUUUUACUGUGCAGCACUUUGGUAAACUUGAACGUUUUUUAAAAUGUAUUAUAUUAAUAAAACAGAUCGGCUUGGAAAUGCUUUAUUCAUGGUACAGUUACAGUAGACUAAUUCUGAUAGUAAGUAACAGAACUGAAUAAAAACAGUAAAGUAUAAAUGUUCAAUUGAUUGGUAACCUGAAGAGGCAGAAGAUCUAAUGUUGUUUUUGGAUUUACAAUAAAGCUUGAACACCAGCUCCAAAAGCUUACUGGCAAGUCAUCAGCUGCUACUUCUUCUUCCUCUUCUUCGUCUAAUUUGUUUUCAAACAUGUGUGACUAAAUACUGUAUUGUCGACUAGUUGAUGAAAUAUAGACAACCCAAACAUAAACGCCAAAACAAUUGGUUUGCUUGUACAGACAUUGUACCCUUCCCAUCGUAUCUGUAAUUCGCAAACAUUUGUUGAUGAGGAAUGGUCGAGUGCUAACAUCGGCUGUGUCCUGGUGAGUAUGUCUUUUUUUAACUUAAAUAUGGUCUGAUUUGUCUCCAGUUUUCCACUACACCUUUGCUUAUCAAUCAGGGAGAACAGACAACAAUUUGUCAGGUCAACAAAUUUUGCAGGAUUUACAGUCUGACCUAAGUAGUCUCAAGUCGUCGUAAAACAACGAUCACUUCAAAACUGUUCUUCUCUUGUUUUCACAGUGAAGAACAGGCAGUUUUCUUGUUUCCUAUCAAUAGCAUUUUGAUUACAAAAGUAAGACCUGACUUUGUGAACCAAACAUCUCUGUACUUCCUCAGUUCUGGAGAAAUUCACCAGAAAGAGCACAAGUUGUUUUGCACUUUGUUCAACUUCACUAGGGAAGAAAAGUUUGGGUCUUUCCUCACUGACGUCAAGACAGCCACUUCUCUGGAGCCGUUUUCAUGCUGGCUUCAGAACUUGGCUCCCGGUUCUUGCUGCUUGUUCUAAUCGCAUUGCUAAACUUAAACCCCAAUAAACUCACCGAGAGUGCUGGCUAACAAAAGUUACAUCACCUCGCAAAAAUGUCAAUACUUGAAAAACCUGGUUCACACAAGGAUAGAAGAACAGCACACAGAUACUUAGGAAGGAGCUCAAAUGCUGCUUCUGCCCUGUAUGACUUUCUGCUCCAUUCAUCACCUCUCCUCUCGGCUCCCACGCUGCUCUGCUGAGGUAAAUAAAUAAACACAGGGAGUAAGAUUGUGUGAGGAAGAGGAAGGUGAUGGGAAAACUAUUGAAGGAGGUAUUAGCUCAAUCACUCACCAGCUCGUGGAUCAGGCGGCUCUUCCUAUUUAUCUCACUCCUAGCAGGGUGCUGAGAGACAGUUUCUUCUUCUUCUUUCUGGCUCUUGAUGCCUACAUCUCCAUCUUUUUUCCCCUCCACCUCUCCACACUUGCUCUUCUGCUCUCUCCUGAGGAUGAAUGGAGGUGAGUGUGCAGCCAGGAACUUAGUGCAUCCAUCAUGGCUGCAUUGGCAGGGCUGACUGGUGCACAGCUCUAUGAGUGAUGCCACCAGGAGGCUCUGCUCUGGAUUCACACAGGAGGGCUGAUCUCAGAGCAGCCAGGAUGAGGAAGCUGGUUGGCCGGACUUCCCAAAAGAAAGUUUCUGUUAAGAUUCAUCUACAUAAGAGUUGCUAGAGCCAACUUCACACCAUCCACUAUGAAUUUUCCUGUUUUGUUGAGGAAAUAGUAUGUAUAAUAUUUCAAAUGAUUGUAAUUAAAACCAACAUGAGAUUCCUUGUUUUGACAUUUUUGCGAUGGCUAAAGAUUUGUUUACAAAAUAAAUUUGACAAUUGUGGUGAACAUUUGUGCUCCUGUCACUUUUCUCAUGUCAUCCCUUCAGUUAUGGUUCCAAAGUAAAAGCCAACACUUCCUUUCUUUUAUCUUACUAAAAUGUGACAUUUCAACAGUAUAUUCUGUGCCAUUUUUAUCAUACUAAACUAUGAUAUUUUGAACAAACUACACUGUGGCUUUUUUCAUGCUAAAAUUUUAAAUUUUUAUCAUAGUAUACUAUGACUUUUUUUUAAACAUUUAUUACUAUAAAAUUUUUAUCAGACUAUACAAUGACUACUUUUCAUUUUAAAAUUUGAAUUUUUCAUCAUACUUUACUCUGACUUUUUUCUAUCAUACAAUACUAUGACAUUUUUAUCAGUCUAUACUAUGACAUUUUAAUCAGACUUAAACUAUGACUUUUUUCAUAUUCAAUUUUGACAUUUUUAUCAUAGUAUACUAUGAAAUUUUUUAUCAUACUAUACUAUGAUAUUUUUAUCAGACUAUACAAUGACUUCUUUUAAUUUUAAAAUCAGAAUUUUUCAUCAUAGUAUAGUAUGACUUUUUUCUAUCUUUCUAUACAAUGAUAUUUUGAACAUACUAUACUUUUCAUACUAAAAUUUGACAUUUUUACCAUAGUAUAGUAUGGCCUUUUUAUCAUACUAUUCUAUGAUAUUUUUAUCAGAAUAUACAAUGACUUCUUUUCAUUUUAAAAUUUGAAUUGUUCAUCAUAGUAUGAUUUUUUUUAAUUCAUUCUAUACAUGAUAUUUUAAACAUACUAUACUAUGAAUAUUUUUCAUACUGAAAUUUGACAAUUUCAUCAUAGUAUACUAUGACCUCUUUAUCAGACUAUACUAUGAUAUUUUUUAUCAGACCAUACUAUGCCUUUUUUAAAAUAAAAUUUUAAAUUUUAGCAUUGUAAACUAUGACCUUAUCUAUCUUACUAUAGUAUGAUAUUUUUAUCAGACUAUACAAUAACUUUUUUUCAUUUUCAAAUUUGAAUUUCUCAUCACAGUUUACUAUGACUUUUUUUGAUAAUACUAUACAAUGAUAUUUUGAACAGACUAUACUGUGACUUUUUUCAUACCAAAAUUAUAUAUUUUUAUCAAAGUAUUCAAUGACCUUUUUUUUUACUAUACUAUGAUGUUUUUUUAUUAUACUAUACAAUGACUUUCUUGUAUUAGAAUUUAAAAUUUUAUAAUAGUAUACUAUGACCUUUUUUGAUCAUGCUAUACUAUGUUAUUUAAACAUACUGUACUAUGACUAUUUUUCAUACUUAAAUUUGACAUUUUUAUCAUAGUAAAAUAUGACCUUUUUUAUCAUACAAUACUAUGAUAUUUUUUAUCAGACUUAUACUCUGACUUUUUCAAUUCAAAUUUGAAAUUUUUAUCAUAGAAUACUAUGACUUUUUUUUACCGUUCUAUACAAUGAUAUUUUGAUUGACUAUACUAUGACUCUUAUUCAUACUAAAAUUUGACAUUUUUAUCAUAGUAUACUGACUUUUAUUAAUUAUACUAUACUAUGUUAUGUUCAUCAGACUAUACUAUGACUUCAUUAUAUUUAAAUUUGAAACUUUAAAAUAGUACACUAUGACCUUUUUUUAAUCACUAUAGUAUAUGUUUAUCAGACUAAAUAAUGACUUCUAAUUUUAAAAUUUAAAUUUUUUUCAUCAUAGUAUACUAUGACUUUUUUCUAUCAUUCUAUACAAUAUUUCAAACAUACUAUACUAUGACUAUUUUUCAUACUUAAAUUGACAUUUUUAUCAUUGUAUACUAUGACCUUUUUUAUCAUUCUAUACUAUGAUAUUUUUAACAUACUGUAUGAAGACUUUUUUUCACACUAAAAUGUGAAUUUUUUAUCGUAGUAUACUAUAGUUUACUAUAUUAUAAUACUGCACUAUGAUAUUUUUUUGUCAGACUAUACAAUGUUUUUUAUAUAUUAAAAUUUGUUUUAGUUUUAUCAUAGCAUACUAUGACCUUUUAUACUAUUUUGAACAUACUACACUAUGACUAUUUUUCAUAUUCAAAUUUGACAUUUUUAUCAUAGUAUAAUAUGACCUUUUUUUAUCCGACUAUACUAUGAUAUUUUUUAUCAGACUAUACAAUGACAUUUGUAUCAUUCUAUACCAUGACCUUUUUAUCAUAUCAAUAUGUCAAUUUUUUUUCAUACUGAAAUUUGACUGAAAAAAACUUUUAUUAUACUUAUCACACCACUCACAUUAUUGUAGAGUUGUAAUAAUAAUCUUUAUUGUCCCCAGGGGGAAAUUUGCUUUCACAGGUCUUAUUCAAACACAAAACAGGAGUACAGACAACACAUACCAUAUGACACAAAACAUAUUACAAGGACAGGCCAUGAGAACCUCCCCCAGAAUACACAGAGACCAUCCUAGCGGUGAGGCAGUUUAAGCUUGUUUACUGCGGCGAUGGCUGUUGGGAUGAAACUCUUACUGAACUGUACUUCUACAAUUAGACCAUGUAUUAGCAUUAUGACAUGAACAUUCAGAGGUCACUUAUUCUCUUAUUUUUCUUCAUUUUGAAUUACCGUUCGAUCCAAACAAUGUGGAUUACACAGUUCAGCUCAGCUUGUUUGCAGGUGAACUCCUCAGACUAAGGUCUAAGACACGCUACAUUUACGUCCAGCAUGCCGGCAGCCUCCAGUCCAUUAAGUGUAAUUAUUCAUUCUGUGAGCGUAAUGAUGGUUAGGUUAGUGUGCAUGAGCCUGUUAAUGUGUAAGUCUGUGAAGAAAGAACAUGAUCACUGGCAUGUUUAAAAGCGCUCUACAUGAAGGUUAUUGUUUCAUUCAGGAGUGACGUGGAGAUUUGAGACUGGGGGUAAAAACUGUAAAUAGUUUCACGUGUGUGUUUACAAUUCCGCCUCAUUUUACAAGAAACCUUUUCCAUUUUCAUCACUUUCUCACUUUACUUCACUCUUCUGUGUAUGUCUAACACACACACUCACAGAAACACACACACACAGGCAUGCACAUAUGGUAAUGAAGGCGGUAAUGUAGACCAGCUCUCUCUCAAAUACAACACAAUUACAACAGAUUACACGGCAAUGGCUUCCACAUGGUUCACACAAAGUUGGAUUACCACCCCACAGUGUGUGUCAGCGUGCGCAUAUGUCGGUGUUUGUGUGGGUGUGUGAUAGGUGGUUUCCUCUGGACCACCACCAACAGAGCACACUGUUUUACAACAUCUAUUGAAUAAGACAAGAAGUGAAGGGGAACGCUGGGUGAAAGGGCAAGAGGGUGAUGAAGAGAGAGGAAGACGAGGUUGUAGAAAACGGCUGAAUGUUGUGGGUUUUUUGUGUACCUCUUUUCUGUGUGUUUAUAUUGUAGAAUAAUUUCAAACCCAUGAGCAAAAAAAGGAAACUUUUCUCAUGAUUCGAAGCCAAAAAGAAAAGUUACUCCUGCAAUGCAACCUUGGGUGUUUCUGUUCACAUAACUGCAAGGCAAAUUGUAUCAAGGAAACAACAUAUCCUAUUAGUCAUGUGCAUUACCACUGGUGCGUCAUAGUGUAUCUGUUGCACUGAGUUGUAUGCCCUUGACAUCUACGACCACCAGAUACACAGAAUAUGCACACAGUUUAAGUUAACAUUCAAGGACGUCCUGCUGUGAUUGGACAAACCUGAAUGUCUUUGUACAUUUGAGCUUAAUUUGAUCGCAUUUCAAGACUCAAACUGAGUGUAAGUAAGAAGGUGUUACCAGAACCAGUCUUCUAGUGCAGAUCUCUGUGCUCAGGGGGGUCACUUCAAAAAUACAGACAAUAAGAACAAACUUUUAUUAUAUUCCUGUGGACCUUCAAGGCACUGUGGGGAACUUUCAUGUUGUGUUGAUUCUGGUGACUUCUUUUGGACACAAGUAGUAAAAUUUUUGCAGAUGAUGUCGAAGCAAACGGCAGGCUCAGACACAGUGAGAUUUCCUACAUCACAACUCCAAGCUCCGCCCCCGUAGCCCCACUUUGCUGGCCAGAUUUGGAGAAGUAGAGAGGACGAUUGCUCGUAAGAAAGCUAAUUAUGAUAUUAACUUUCAUCAUGUCCCCAAAGACAAUAGUGUCCGAGAGCUGAAUAGAUUAGUUCUGCUGCACCAGCAAUGUCAGGCUACAAGCUAGUGUGAAGAGGAGUGUGCAGAGCAGCGCUGUCUCCACCAACAACUCAGAGGCGAAUUGCUAAUGAGCUACUGGAGCUCUGCAGAAGAAAGGUCCUUGAAAAUGACACAGGUAACGUGAUUUUGGUGAAAAAAAACCUCAUAAUCACUAUUUAACGACUACUGAGAACACUUAAAAAAAAGAUAGUUUUAACACAGUUUAAAAAAAUUGAUCAGAGUGGGAUUAAUAACAUGAAUAUACACACAGUUUGAACCACUCACAAGCUAGCAUUCACAUUCAAAUAGACCCAUUGUGCUAACCUGUUACUUAAUAAUCAUAGUAAUAAUAACUUUAUUUGUAUAGCACUUUUAAAGCACAUAGAAAAAGACAGAUAAAAACAAAAAGCUCAGUUAAAACGGAAUUGAAGGCCAUUUUCAUGUCAUUAGGAACCCAAACAAAACAAGAACCGUGUAACAUAAAAUGACAUAAAACUUAACAUAACAGAAAACGUAUAUUAUUGCCAGUCCUGGUUCAAUAUCAGCCAUGAGUGGAAAACCUUUCAUUGAAGUAAAAAUACUUAAAACACAUCCUGCUUUCUAUUUUACUCACAAAACCAGUAGAGUUCUGAACAUAAAAUCUUUGGGAUGAAGGUCAAUCAGGAAAAUAACUGGUCUUGUUGCUGAUAAUCUCAUACUCUGCCACGAUUAGGUAACAGUAUUAGAUUUCUUAAACUCUGUUAAAAACUCUGUACAGUGCCUUUAAAGUCGUGCCGUAUUCACGCCUGUUAAGACAUUCGUUAAAGCUCCCAUGAGGAACUUUAAAGUUGUUCAAGUUUUGACCAAAACUCUUGUUCAUUCUUUUUCAUUGAACCCCCCCAAUCAUUGCUUUUAGAUAUAUGUUGGGAAAUGUUAACACGGGCUACUAUGGCGGUUUACAGUAACCCACUUCUCUGAUACAUCUGUUGGCAGCAGUUACAAGGAUUUAACGUUACUUAAAGAAAUCCUUGUUUUUGUUUUUCUGAUUUUGCAGAUCAUAGAGAGGCAUUACAAUCGAUGAAAGUCUGAAAAUUCCUCACAGGAGCUUUAUAGUAGAAACAGUUAAUGUCUCUCCCUGUGAGACCAUGAUAUAAAUACAACAGGAUUUUAAAGGACCUCAUACAUAUGAUCUGGAAAAAUAUAAGGGAACUCUUAUUUAAGGAGUGACGUGUACAGUAUAUUUGAGUGUGCUGUCACUGUUGGAAAAGCAAGAAGUGGAAAAGAAAGAAGAGGAGAGGAAAGAAAAUUUGAGGAGGGGUGAGAAGUUAGAUGAGGUGAAGAGAGAGUAAAUGUCUACAGUGCACCUGGACAGGUGAAUGAUGAAUUAACCUUUCAACCAACUGCAGGAGUUCAGCCUCCAUCAAUCCAUCAGCAGGGACAGCAAACCACCAAUCACACCACAGGGAGGAGGAAAAACCCGCCUUCUUUUCAGGCUGGCUGUUCACCGACAAACACAUUUCUUCACUUAAAAGCGCGGGUGUGCAAACCCAGCGAGAGGACAGCAUGUGUAAAACCUCAAACUUUCUCCUAAGAUGAACUCACUCGGUUUUUCCGCUCCUUUUCUUUCUCUGUAACAAACAAACGGACAUUUCUCAGUUCAUUUUUCUUGUGUUUUCCCCACCGCAUUCCCAGGCUGUCCCACUGCAGUGCCAAUGUUUUCAAAAGAGUUACAUAUCAGACCUAACCCAAACCAGAACCGAGCUCUGCAGCUGUAACCGCAGGAGUCAAACAAUGCGAGACUCCGGGGACACCUACAUGUCCAGGAGACAUAUGACCCCUCUGUGAGCCAGAUUUGAUUUUAUUUAGCCUCUUUGUUUCUUCACUUGUCUCCUCUCUCACAGUCUGCCUCUCUUUACCUCCUGCUCCUCUCUGCUGCUGCUGAUGUGUGGUAGACCUCAGACUAUUGUGUUGCAGAUUUGAAAGUUUUCCUAAAUAGGCCCUGGUCUGUUCUAUUUAUGGGAGACAAACAGGCCGCAGCAUGUUUUUAUAUAAAGGCUUCAGGUUUUACUUACAUGUGAAGUGCAUUUAUAUCUGUCUUUAUACCAAGAGCAGCAUUUAUCCUGUUCCUCUAUUUUUAUUCACCAGAAACUGAAACUGCUAAAAAAACUCUGCUGUCUACUGUAGCUCGUGCGCUCAAAGGAACCACUGUACAAUAAAUCAGUCCAUGCAGCUUUGAGUCUUAGGGUUCACUGUACUUUUAUUAGUGUUUUUGUCAUACAACAUUUUUGCCAUUUUAUAAAACUGAGAAGAAAAACCGAGAAGUCACAAAAUCAGAAAGGUUCUUAAAGAGAUAUUCCACUGUAAAUUUAAGUUAUUGUCAAACACACCAUAACAUCAAGUGAGACACCCCCUCGAGAGAUGAAUGUUGCCGACCGCUUGCUUCUCUAGUUAUACCAACUUUAGUAACAACCGCACGGUAGCAAUACACAGCGGUCUACGACUCCACGCGCAAACCUCAACCAAAACGCCACUCUAUAGCCACAAAUAAUGCUCAGAACAGCACCUAACUUCAUCAACAGAACAUAUAGGGUCCCAGCCAUAGUACUAGCCACCAAACAUCUUUUUAACUUUGCCUGAUUUCUUUAACAAAAAGACUAAACACAACUCACCUACUCUCCUCCAGCAGCCGCUUGUUUGUGGGGAAGCCCUGACGAGUCGAUCACCGAGUGCAGCGGAGUUUCGCAGCUCAAGGAAGAACAUUUAUGAUUAUUACUUCAUGGAAAUGCAACCAGAGUUCUUGUGUAUCUUGUAUGUACACUGCAGACGUGGUAGUUCUUCUGCUUUAGUGUCUCAGUCUGAUUGCAAUUCCGUGAAGAAAUGAUCAUAAAUGUUCUUCCUUGAGCUGCGAAACUCUGCCGCACUUCAAAGAAAUUAUCCACUGCACUCGGUGAAACCAGGCAAAGUCAAAAAGAUGUUUGGGGUCUAGUACUAGGGUAUUUACAUGAAGAAAUGAUCAUAAUUGUUCUUCCUUGAGCUGCGUCACCCCGCUGUAGUCCUUAAUGGACUGGCCCAGUGUCUCUCUACAAACAAGCGGCUGCUGGUAGAGAGUAGGUGAGUUGUGUUUAGUCUUUUUGCUAAAGAAAUUAGUCAAAGUUAAAAAAAUGUUUGAUGGCUAGUACUAUGGCUGGGACCGUAUAUGUCCUGUUGAUGAAGUUAGUUAGAGCUGUGUUUUGAUUGAUGUCUGGUUGCAUGGAGAUGUAGACCGCUGUGUAUUGCUAUCGUGCGGUCGUUACUAAAGUUGGUAUAAUUAGAGAAGCAAACAGUCGGCAACAUCUCUUGAGCGGGUGUCUAACUCUGUGUUACGGUGUGUUUGACCAUAACUUAAAUUUACGCUGGAAUAUCCCUUUAAUAUUAUGGGGAAGAAAAAUCACUGUCAAGAUUAUUUGCACCCAAAGUUCAAAGUUGCAUUGGCAGACUAAUAUGAAAAACUGAGGCAGUAAUACUGAGUCAGUUAUGAAAUUCACUGAUUUUGGUCUAACAACAGAACUCUCACAUGCUCUCACAGGAACACAGAUAUGAGGUAUCACUUUGUCCACAGGGGGCGCCAAUAUCAACACAGACCAAACGCUCCUCAAAGCAGCUUUAAGGGGAAGAUUACACAACUAACUUACAAAGAGAAAAAGACAGGUCCUUAAAUUACAACACAACAUGUCUAAUAAGUUGUCAUCACAGUUAAGAUGAACACAAAGCAGUGGCAGAGUUCGGUGUAGUACAGAUUCAACAAAAACUGUGAGUAAAUCUUACCUUUUCUUACCCUCAGGUGUGAAUAAACGACUGAUUUAAGAACAAGUGAACCUGAAGAAAUAAUGAAUUUAUACCAUGUUGAAUGUAUUUGCAGGGCUGUUCCUUUAUUCUUGGGUGUUAAAUUAUCUGGAUGUAUUAAUAUUUGAGGAGUUUUGACCAUCCACAACAGAGACGUUAAUGUUACAUGGGUUAAAAUAUCAGUUUUAUAAGUGUUCGGUCUGUGGGGGACUCAGAGGUCAGCCAUGGACUCUCUCUGGCUCCUCAGGUUACUGUUGUCAUAUUUCUGGGAAUUUGAUGCAAUGUUUGGAAACGGAGCUGCAGUCAGGCAGGGCGGAUCACAGUGUCAGUGUGUGUGUGUGUGUGUCUGUGUGUCUUCACCAACUCUGCUCGGCCAGAAAUGAUUGUGUCAUUACAACAUCCAGGGCGUUCGAGAUCUCUCUCUCUCUCUCUUACACACACACACACACCAAGCCGGUUUCAGGGUUCAUCCCCUCCUCUGUCCUGGUCUCUGUCAGUCAUGCAGUGUGUUCUCACUCCUCACUCUUCUGAUGUCAUUUGGGAGUGCAUUGAUGGGUGGAGGGGGCUUAUGAGAAAGGCACACACAGACACACACUAACAUACACACACACACAUAUAAAGAGAUCUGGUUGGGUGUUAAUAGUGAGUUAUGGGUUUUUAAUGCCUAACACUGCGGCUGAUCCAAAGAGGAAAGUCAGGCCAACUUGCAGUUAAUCAAACCAUUUUACUGUGUGUUUGCACAUGUGUGUGUGUGUGUUUGUGAGUGUGUACAUUUGUGGGCCUCGCUUGUGAUGAAAUACAACAAUUCACAGCAGGCGUCGGAUUCAUAUGCGUGCCGUUCGUACGAGCAACUGCCCCAAAAACACAAACAGCAUGUGAGAAAGAGAGAAAGAAACGAGUAGAGAAUCAGAGAUAAAGACUCGGAGGUUGGGGGAGCUGCUGGAAGAGAAAAGGUAGAGAUAAAUAGAGAGAGAAAGUGAUGUGUAGAGAAAGGAUAAUGGCUUCCAUAUGAGAAUGUCAGAGCGUUUUCCUGCCUGCUUCUCGCUGUAAUCAUAUCAGCAGUCAGGCCGUUUCCAGCCUUCAUAAAUGUGAAGUAUGCAGCGGGUUUCAGGAUCCAGCUUCCUUUACAUAAACACCCCUUAGAAAAACAACCUGGGUGGACCUGACUCUGUGUGUGUGUGUGGGAGAGUGUGUGUGCUAAGUAAUAAGUGCUCACGCUGUCAUGAAGCUGAGUGUUGAUCUGCAGUAAAAACAGCAUUUUUGUGUAUGUGUGUUCAGAUCAGGUGAUGAGUGCAGUGAGUUAAAGCUCUCUUGUCAGGAAUAAAACAUGCGUUAGGAGUUCAUUUACUUUUUUCCCACCGUGUUUGUCUGUAAAGUCUGACCAGACAAAUUAGCAGCUGUGAGCAGACCACUUACAUGUCUUAUUUUGAUAUGGGAAAGAUUAACAGCGAACUCUAAGACAUCAGAAAAAAAGAUUUUUGUACAUGAACUUUUACAUUUACAGGAUGAAAUUAUUAAAGUUAUAAACAAUACUUCUUAUGCGAAGGAAGCGCAAAAAUCAAUCCUGCACAAAAGCUCUAACUUUGACCAAAAUCAUACUCUGAUCACUGUAAUUAUACCACUAUGGUACUGGUUUUAUUCCUGAGGGGGUGGAGUUUGAAUUUGAUUGGCUUAGUUAGUUAGUUAGUUAGUUAGGUAGGUAGGUAGGUAGGUAAAUUAGGGUGACCAUAUUCUGACUUCCCAAAAAGAGGACACGACUAUGCCGGGCUGAAUCACGGAUUCGCACAAAGUUAAUUUUGAAGGUUAUUUUCAGUCGGAUGAAGUGUCUUUUAUGCGCUUCUAACUUAGUAAGUCCACGUGACACAACCAAGAAACUUCCGUACAAAACCGCAGAAAUUUGACGGAUUUUAUAAACUUCCCCAGACAAAGUCGAACAAGGCCGGGCAGCCCCCAAAAAGAGGACACAUGGUCACCCUAAGAUAGAUAGAUAGAUAGAUAGAUAAAUAGAUAGAUAGAUAGAUUGUGUUUGAUGUACAGAGCUGACAGCCUGCGUUUGACUUGAGUGUGUGAUAACGUUUGCAGCUUUUCUAGCCAAUCAGAGGCAAAGGAGGCGGGACUUUCUCCUACCGUCCUAUAAAAAAAAUAUUGCCUCCUGUGAGCUAGCUGUGUUUGCAUUGGGUCUCAUAGAACAUAUUCAUGACCCUGUAAAUGUCACUGCAUUGUUAUCUUGCGCAGACCUGUAUCAUACAGAUUUUUUUAAGUAUUGUUGCAGGUCAAUCUAAUAAUUUAGCUUUUAACUUUAUCUGCUUUUGUAAUACACACAAAUACACACAUACACACACACACACACCCAGACAGUCAAACACAGACAUUUUGUCACAGAUGUUAAAGUUUGCACUGAAAUGUUCAGAUUCAAGAUCUAAGAAUCUGGAUAAAAUAAAUUAUAUGUCAAGUAAGACACAUCGCGAAUUGCUUUCAACGUGCGACUCUUAUUACCAUUUCUAUACGCAAGAGCUGUAAAAACUGAUCUCCAGUGAAUCAGUCGACCAGCUAACAUGGACAUUUGUCAACAACAGAUCUGUGGAGGUCCAGUUAUCUGAUAAAAUGGAGGACAAACUGACCAUGGCGGUACGCUUCAUAACCCUGGGGAAGAAUAAGUGAGGAGGUCUUAUUGUCUGGCACGACAAAUCCUUACAGUGUAGUUAACCCCAACCAUGUUUGAUGAAAUAGCAUGAAAGAAAACCCUCAUCUCCAUCAUAAAUUAAUCCAACACAGCAUGUAAAUGAGCGAGUUAUUUGUGUAAAUUAGGCAAGACAACACAAAACCUUCAGCCGCUCAGAUACAUGCAAAUUAAGUAAUUUUCAACAGCCAAACAAGCUGAAAGUUAUUAAAAAAGUUGUCAAGCUUUCAUCAAAAUUACACAAUUUAGCCGAAGAAUAUCAAAACUUAUUUUUAGACAAAGUAAUGCGCCAGAGAAAGCCUGACUGCAGCAUCGUAUCUGGGGGUUAAAGUCCACGGCAGCGAAUGAACUAUUGAUAACUGUUCGAUCCCUGGUGGUGUGUUUGUGUGUUUACAGCAGCAGGAGAUCAAACCAUGCGCAGCGCUCGGUGUUACGCGCCGGAGCCAGAGGUUCUCUGCUAAAAAACUCCCAGGAGGGGUGGAGGGGGUCAGCGUAGGCCGAGAACCUCCUGCCUGAGCUCUCAGCUGGCAGCAUGGAGCUUCACAGGGCUCUGAGGGGUGGUGUUGAGAAACUGUUUAAACACGAGGCAUGUGUGUGAGCGUGUUGUAAGUGUGUGUGUGUGCGUGUGUGUUCUCCCUGCUCAAAUGUUCACAAAUUAGCCAAUAUCAGGAGUUAAGUUACGCGCACACACACGAAACACCCACACUCCUUGGUUCACUGGGCAGAGGUUUUAUACAAUUGGCUCGGGUUCAACAGCAACACUCAGCAGAUAGAGAGCAUGAUGGGGGAGUGAGCUCUGCCCUGAGAGGUUAGAGUGAUACAUAUUUCUCGUAAAUGCAGGUCUGUUUUUGCUACUUUCAUUGUUGAUUGAAAUAACACAGUAGUGAUUCAGCGUGGACUCGGGUCACAAUCCUACAUCUGCCCUUCUAAUCACUUUAUACUGGGGGCGGUCCUGAUUAAAUCCUGAGCGGAGAGACGGACUGAUGAGGUUUACGUUUUCCUGCAGAGGGGAAAGUGUUUUGUUUGGAAGACUUAGAAAGACUUUUGGCCUGAGCUGGUCAUCCGGUGAGAUUAGCAGGUCUAAAACUUUAUCUGAUUCUUCCAUUAGAGUCUCAGUAGGUGAUCUUUUUUUAGCUGUUUACGCCACGGUAGUUUCUCCUCUUCCUGAACAGUGUAGGUACCAGAUGAAGACGUCACCCCACGGUAGGGUGACCAUACGUCCUUUUUUCCCUGGACAUGUCCUCUUUUUUGGGGGCUGUUCGGUCUUGUCUGGGGGAGUUUAUAAAAUCCUUCAAAUGUCCGGGGUUGUGUAUGGAAGUUUUGAGUUUGUGUCGUGUGGACUUACUGACUGGCUAAACCCACAGGAUCCAGAACGGUGGCGCUCCGCUCCGGAACAGCAGGCGGAUCAGAUCCGCAAGCAUACAGUACCCACCGGAUCCGAUCCCCCGCCGCCAUCAGAGGAAAAGUGCUCGCGAGAUUACCGAUAUUUCUCACGAGACUGGACAAAAUCUCACGAGCUCUUGUGUGUUUCCCCGGGAGUCAUAGAAUGAGAUCCGCCAAUCGGUGUGUAUCAACGGCGGUGUGUAUAAACACCCACAUCCCACAACCCUGGCCUCCUAUUAUCAAGUUAAGAACAUUUCAAUAUAUUGACUUUAUUUAUUUUGAAAAUUAACCGGAUAUUUUACCCUGUAAGCUGCACUGAAUUGAUGCGCCGUGCUCCGACAUCCGCCAAAAUAGAAGCCUUGCGUAUCUGAAUAAAGUGAACCUAUAAAACAAGAAAUAUUGUCCGCAUUUCUUUUACGAAACCAUGCAGAAGUUCACAUUUGGUCAGUGCAAUGGAAACAGACAUCAGUCCUGACGUCUGACUUGAACACCUGGACUUUGACCAAGAUGCUCCUACAGAGAUGAAAAUUGAAGACAGCGCCAGAGUGAAAAAAAAAAAAAAUCACUUCAGAUAUUUCCAAAGGCAGUUGGAGUUAGCGUCUCCCAUUUUUGGGAUUGACAACCCUCUUCGGAAAAACAGUUUGUGAAGUCGUUGAGACCACAUCCAGGUUUUUGCGCUCUCUGUCUUUAACACGGGUCCUGGAUAAGGGUCAAGUGUUGUGUGUGGUCAUGAGGGGAACAGGAGUUAUUCCCAGUGGACCAAUGAGAUCACACAUCACAUCCACACAGCGACAUCAUCAACCUGCAGGCAAAUCAGAAGUGAGGAUGACAUCAUCAACAAUCAUCAACUUGUUGAUAAUCUCAACUUCCUGGCUGUGAGUGAUGAGGUCAUGUGGCGGUAAGUCAUGAUGUGACCACUUUAGGUCUGAGGUGAUGAAUAAAUGCAUUUUAUUCUCUACAGAUUAGCGAGAGAGGGAUUGUAUUGAAAUUGGAUUAAUGUAUUCAUGGUUCCCAGAGGAUAACAGCUGACCGGGAACAGUCAUUCAUCCAAUCACUGCUUCCAUGUCAUUCAUAAAAACUAUUCUGCUGCUACGAUUUUUUUUCAUUUUCUUAUCUUGAUCUGUUUUUAUGUGUACAGUCUAAUUAGUAUUUGUUUCUGCUUGAUGUUCAGUUGAUGUUUUCUUGUGUAGUUUGUAUCUGAUUAUUAUGAUUUAAAGUCACGGUUGAUGAUUGAAGAAGCAGCUGAAAAAACUGAGCCGUUGAGGAAGAUUUGAAAAAGCGUCCCCCCCCCCCCCACACCACACACACACACAAACCUUUCCCCUCUGUGCUCCACGAAUAACUCCCCCCCUGAACCUGUAUCACUCUCCCCAGGACACACCCCCUCUGAGCUCAGAGCAAGAAGCUGGCCGGCAAUGGAUCCUACGCUAGCUUCAAAUAGGAUUCACCAUGUCGGAUUUCUAGUGACUAGCGGCGGUAAAUGCCAGCACUGCUAGCGAGCGCCAUCUGCAGCUGCCUGGACAGCUUCAGUGUUGACAUGUCAGAGACUAAUAAGAGUUAUUUAUGUAACAUGUGCCACGAUAAAAGGUGAAAUGACCUGUUCAACAAAAACUCUGCUGUCUCUGCGUCUGUUUUCAGGACCAAAUCCUGGCGGAGCUUUCUCCACCGCAGCAAGGUGAUUGGAUGGAGAGGCGGAGCAGGAGAUUGACCAAUAGGAGCUGUCCGGGACGGAUGGCUCCCAUUGGUCGAUGUUUUUGCAGCCCUGCACCUGCUAGGGUGAACGGAUUUUUUCUGUUCUUUUU